AGCAGCCGCGGUAAUUCCAGCUCCAAUAGCGUAUAUUAAAGUUGUUGCAGUUAAAAAGCUCGUAGUUGAAUUUCGGGAUCAAUUAAUUGGUCGUGCCUCUGGUACGUACUGAUUUUAUUGGUUUCUCCCUUCUGACGAACCAUGAUGUCAUUAAUUUGGUGUCGUGGAGAAUCAGGACUGUUACUUUGAAAAAAUUAGAGUGUUUAAAGCAAGCUAACGCUUGAAUACAUUAGCAUGGAAUAAUGAAAUAGGACGUUUGAUCCUAUUUUGUUGGUUUUCUAGGAUCGACGUAAUGAUUAAUAGGGAUAGUUGGGGGCAUUAGUAUUCAAUUGUCAGAGGUGAAAUUCUUGGAUUUAUUGAAGACUAACUACUGCGAAAGCAUUUGCCAAGGAUGUUUUCAUUAAUCAAGAACGAAAGUUAGGGGAUCGAAGACGAUCAGAUACCGUCGUAGUCUUAACCAUAAACUAUGCCGACUAGGGAUCGGAUGAUGUUAAUUUUUAAUGACUCAUUCGCGCCUUAA
RNAcentral lists this unclassified non-coding RNA (520 nucleotides) under uncultured Glomus. Its description in RNAcentral is "SSU rRNA". It matches the Rfam family "Eukaryotic small subunit ribosomal RNA", at positions 569 to 1091 of the family's 1831-position model. Lineage: Eukaryota; Fungi; Glomeromycota; Glomeromycetes; Glomerales; Glomeraceae. The record is from RNAcentral.